Molecule: long non-coding RNA, 1050 nt
Organism: Planococcus citri (citrus mealybug)
Lineage: Eukaryota; Metazoa; Arthropoda; Insecta; Hemiptera; Pseudococcidae
Exons: 3
Source: RefSeq, a predicted model, not a curated record
GGGUGCUUAGGUAUCUUUCCAAAAAUCUGUGUGCUCCAGGUCGGAACGAUAUUUAGGUGUGUAAAUGGUCGGAAUUGAAAAAAAAUCGCUCGAGACUUCAAAGCGACAUGAAUUCACCUGCAAUCUACUUGAUAGCGUGUUGAAAUUUGAGUGCUGACUGCUGAGUUUUCACCUUUACAGCUUUGGUAAAAUUUACUAGUGGGUGAAAAUUUGACAGAUAGAAAUUUGGCAGGUUUAGAGUAUGUCCCAAACUUCAGUUCUCAUGGGUUAAUUUGGUGACAUUUGUAUUUUUUCUCAUUUUUAGCUGAAAAAAAUUCACAUCAAAGUGUACAAGCUACAACUUUCAAAAUCCAGUUUUUGAAGCACCCUCAUCGAGCUUUUCGCCAGGUAGCCAGGUGUGAUUUCUUUUUUCGAUGAAGGAGAAGGACCAAUGAGAAACCAGUCCUUGUUAUCAAUUUUGUAAGAUGUAAACACAAAAAGAUGAGGGAAAAAACGAAAAUUUAAAAAAAAUUUUCGAAGAAUCUUUCAGAAAUUUUUCUAGUUGGGGAAGCGAUAAAUUUGAAGAAAAGUUUAAGUGUGAUAGCAUCAAUUACAUUCUGCUUCAACUGCGCAGAUACCAAUCAUACUGAUAGCUGCCACAUAAAAUCGGCUCCAUUGUUCACAAUUUGGAAGAAUGACUAGUAACAUUCCGUUCGAAGAAAUACAACUGGAAACCCCUCCGAAUAGUGUUUUCGACACCAUGAACGAAUACAGAAAACAGAAUCCGUUUUACGACGUGACUCUCGAUGUCGGCGGUACUUUGUUUCCCUGUCAUCGUCUCAUUUUGACAGCCUCGUCUACUUAUUUUCAAGUCAUGUUCAGUGGAAAUUUCAAAGAAAGCAGCUUGAAAACCAUCCCCAUUCAGGACAUUGAUGCCGAAGUAAUGGGCAUUUUGCUGUCCGCUAUUCAUUCCUCGCGAAUUCGUUUGCUUCCAAGUAAUUCAUAUUUCGUAUUAAAAGCAAGCCAUGUGCUCCAAUGUGAUAGGAUUUUCAACGCAUGUGUGGACUGUAU